This 335-nucleotide ribosomal RNA is filed under the name uncultured Oceanospirillales bacterium. RNAcentral's name for it is "SSU rRNA". It matches the Rfam family "Bacterial small subunit ribosomal RNA", at positions 30 to 367 of the family's 1533-position model. The record is from RNAcentral. Lineage: Bacteria; Pseudomonadati; Pseudomonadota; Gammaproteobacteria; Oceanospirillales.
UUGAACGCUGGCGGUAGGCUUAACACAUGCAAGUCGUGCGAGAAAGUAUCUUCGGAUAUGAGUAGAGCGGCGGACGGGUGAGUAACGCGUAGGAAUCUACCUAGUAGAAGGGGAUAGCCCGGGGAAACCCGGAUUAAUACCGUAUACCUCCUUCGGGAGAAGAAGGCCUCUCUUUGAAGCUUUCGCUACUAGAUGAGCCUGCGUAAGAUUAGCUUGUUGGUAGGGUAAAAGCCUACCAAGGCGACGAUCUUUAGCUGGUCUGAGAGGAUGAUCAGCCACAUCGGGACUGAGACACGGCCCAGACUCCUACGGGAGGCAGCAGUGGGGAAUCUUGC